This 442-nucleotide ribosomal RNA is filed under the name uncultured soil bacterium. RNAcentral's name for it is "bacterial SSU rRNA". It matches the Rfam family "Bacterial small subunit ribosomal RNA", at positions 26 to 459 of the family's 1533-position model. The record is from RNAcentral.
AGAUUGAACGCUGGCGGCAUGCCUUACACAUGCAAGUCGAACGGCAGCACGGGAGCAAUCCUGGUGGCGAGUGGCGAACGGGUGAGUAAUAUAUCGGAACGUGCCCAGUCGUGGGGGAUAACGCAGCGAAAGCUGUGCUAAUACCGCAUACGAUCUAUGGAUGAAAGCGGGGGAUCGCAAGACCUCGCGCGAUUGGAGCGGCCGAUAUCAGAUUAGCUAGUUGGUGGGGUAAAAGCCUACCAAGGCGACGAUCUGUAGCUGGUCUGAGAGGACGACCAGCCACACUGGAACUGAGACACGGCCCAGACUCCGACGGGAGCAGCAGGUGGGAAUAGUUGGACAAGUGGGACGAAAGCCUAGACUCCGAGCAACCGCCGCGUGAGGAUGGACCGGCCGUUUCGGUUCGUAAACCUUCGUUUACGAGCCGCCGAACGAAGCGAGG